UCUGGUCAGUAGGUUUUGCAUAACCCUACGGACAAACAAACAAAUAAACAGACGGGUGAAAACACAACUUCCUUGGUGAUAAAUAUAUAUACAUAUAUAUAUGUAUAUAUAUAUUAUCUAUAAUGUAAUUGCAAUGUUGCAGCUGUUUUUGUUAAGCGUUAUCCCUCCUCUCUCUCAUCCCUUUAAAGGAUACCAUCACCAGUUUUUUAAAGGAUUCAUCAAAGGACUUCACCUUCAUCCUUUUGCACUUGGACGCCGUCGCUUGUUUUAGGAUUCAUCGCGCUGAAUUCAUCACAGCGCAGUAUUGGAUUUCACAACGCCACGUUGUCAAGGUAUUUAUCCUCUGAAUCUUCCUUGGUUCGCUCUGACUCAUGACAUGGCUUUAAUGUUUUUAGGGAGUGGAAUGGCUAUAGAUGUGUUGGAUGAGGGGUGGGGUGUGAUCGAAUUUUGAUGUGUGAUCGAUUUUUGGUGUGUGAUCGAUUUUUGGUGUGUGAGCAGUUGUGUUAUUCGGUCCGACUGGACCAAAGUGCCAGAGCAUGUGUUUUGGGGGUUCAGUCCUGCUCUGUCGUCAGCUGUGUGUCAUAGAAGGAGACGUAACCAGUAAAUGAUGAGCUUUACCUGACGUUACAUUCGUUUAACACUCAUCCUGCGUCCUGCACGCAUCACCAUCCAGGAUCUCACCAACACUUAAUUUUUUGUUUACAUUUGUCUGUAUUAGAGCAUGUAAAACUUUUCAAGUAUAAACUCAGAAUCAAAAUUAUGAAUCUAAAAAUUAGCAUAAUAUAUUUCUCAUUUUACAUUAAUAUCACAGGCGCUAUCGCAUGUCUUUCGGGUUCGGGUGUGUUUGGGUUCGACUUCAGCAGAUGGAGAUUUGUGUUUAAGCCAGCAGUCUAUGUUUGCAUGCCUUCAAGUUCACAUUAUAAUUGAAACGUGUCUAAAUGUCAGUGAGAGAUACUGAAACAUCAGAGGAGGCUCGUAGCCUAGAGAGCAGACUUACCCAAAAAGGUCGGCCGUAUUCCACACCGCUGCAAACCAGGUGCAAAUGUGUGCAGGAAUUUCCAGCAUCGUAAGUGCUAGAUUUUUGGGAAUAGAUAAAAUUAUGCACAAUAUCCACAAUUGUGCAAUGAAAUUCAAGCCCUGCCAAUGGAGGUUUUUAAAGAACAUUAGAACAUAAGUUUUAAUAAAAUGCCAACAUUGCGCUCUGGGCUCAGCGUCUAGCUAAUAGCUGCUUUGAGAGUUCUAAUGGCUGAUGCAGAUGUGACAUCAUCUGCCCCUCUCCUCACUGGGCUGUUAUUUGGCUGCUUCGGGUGUCAAAACAGGGCCAAUCAUUCAAAUCAUUCCACAUCCCAAUGCAGUAACACUGCUCAAAGCAGCAAUCAUAAUGUAAUCUUUGAGUUAAUGUGAACCCGCCACUAUUCCUCCCCCCAGCACUUUGUUUCGCCAGCAGGAAGUCUGGUGACUCCGGCUGUUUGGCCAAUAUUGUCAGCAGUAAAAUGAACCCUGCCUUUUCCACACGGGCACUGUGGGGCAACAGAUACGGUAGAUUAAGUAAGAAAAUAUCUGUUGC
Scophthalmus maximus (turbot) is the source of this 1567-nucleotide long non-coding RNA. The record is from Ensembl. NCBI's taxonomy places the organism in Eukaryota, Metazoa, Chordata, Actinopteri, Pleuronectiformes, Scophthalmidae.